Otolemur garnettii (small-eared galago) is the source of this 102-nucleotide unclassified non-coding RNA. It matches the Rfam family "Y RNA". Rfam says of the family: Y RNAs are components of the Ro ribonucleoprotein particle (Ro RNP), in association with Ro60 and La proteins. The Y RNAs and Ro60 and La proteins are well conserved, but the function of the Ro RNP is not known. In humans the RNA component can be one of four small RNAs -- hY1, hY3, hY4 and hY5. NCBI's taxonomy places the organism in Eukaryota, Metazoa, Chordata, Mammalia, Primates, Galagidae. The record is from Ensembl.
GGCUGGUCCCAAUGCAGCGGUGUUUACAAUUAAUUGAUCACAACCAGUUAUAGAAUCCUUUGUUUCUUCUCCAUUCCCACUGCUUCACUGGACUAGCCUUAA